UAAAACAAACUGGGAUUAGAUACCCCACUAUGUAUGAUUGUUAACAUCGAUGAUUCAAUACCCAAAUCAUCCGCCUGGGUAAUACGAGCGCUAGCUUAAAAUCCAAAGGACUUGGCGGUGCUUUAGACCCCCCUAGAGGAGCCUGUUCUAGAACUGAUAACCCCCGUUAAACCUCACCAUCCCUUGUUUAAUCCGCCUAUAUACCACCGUCGUCAGCUUACCCUGUGAAGGAAAUAUAGUAAGCAUAAAUGGCAAAGCCAUAAACGUCAGGUCGAGGUGUAGCGAAUGGGCUGGGAAGAAAUGGGCUACAUUCUCUACCAUAGAGAAUACGAAUGGCCGUUUGAAAAAACUGCCUUGAAGGAGGAUUUAGCAGUAAGCAGAGAAUAGAGAGCUCCGCUGAAAACGGCCCUAAAACGCGCACACACCGCCCGUCACUCUCUCCAAAUACUCAUAAUUAUUUACCUAAAAUAUUUAAACUAACAAGGAGAGGCAAGUCGUAA
RNAcentral lists this ribosomal RNA (500 nucleotides) under Gaidropsarus argentatus (Arctic rockling). RNAcentral describes it as "partial 12S ribosomal RNA". It matches the Rfam family "Bacterial small subunit ribosomal RNA", at positions 763 to 1491 of the family's 1533-position model. Lineage: Eukaryota; Metazoa; Chordata; Actinopteri; Gadiformes; Gaidropsaridae. The record is from RNAcentral.